This is a long non-coding RNA of Mangifera indica (mango), 612 nucleotides long. RefSeq lists it as uncharacterized. The transcript has 2 exons. The record is from RefSeq and is a predicted model, not a curated record. NCBI's taxonomy places the organism in Eukaryota, Viridiplantae, Streptophyta, Magnoliopsida, Sapindales, Anacardiaceae.
AUUGUCAUGGGAAGUUUGUGUUUUGUGCAUUUUCCAUGUCUUUGAAUAUUGCAGCUUGACAGAGACAAUCUUUCAAACUUGCUUCUUCACAUUCUUCCUUGGAUUGUGAUUUCGGAUCGGAAUAUGAACCAUCUUCUCAUGAAAUAUUACUGUCUUAAUUGUGUACUUGAUAUUCCAGCCUAGCUUUUGCAACUUUCUGCUGAGAAAUUCUUUUGACAGCCUGAGGCUCAGCUGCCCUCUUUAAUUCUUGCAUAUCCUGGAAGAUAUCGACGCCUGAUUUCUUGAUCAUUUUGAACACAAUACCCUUUAAGGCUACAGAGACCCAUAGGUAAAAAUGGCCAUCAACAUCCACGUUUAACGACACAUUGCCAUAGCCAAUAGGCAUGUGUGCUUCUGUCUGUAGUAUCCUUUGGGUACUGCACAAGGAUUUCAUCCUUCUGCAUCUUAAGCCAAAACAUCCUGGUUGAUUGAUUAGUUUCCAAGACUCUGGAAACCACUUGUUUCCCUGCUAAGAGAUGUUGACCUGGUAACAAUGUAUUGGUGGGGUGUACAAAAUUCUGCCAUAGGACCUUAUCAGAAUUAUAGAAAAUAAAAUUUACUGAAUUAAGCAUU